CUUAUUGCAAACGUGUCGCGCCCAUUUCAAACCAUUUUCCAUCAUCUAGGGCAAAUUUUGGAACGAUUUCAGACCACCACAUGGGGGAGAAAUUCGACUACGUCUCAAACUCUCCUGUGACUGAGAUUUGGAAAUACCUCUAUUCAACAAAUUAAUGGGUAUUGUUCAACUAAUUUUCUCAAUCUCUCGCUUUCUUCCAUUGUUUGAGUUGGUGGAAACAUCACAAAUACUUUUAACAAUUUAAAAGUAAACUACCCACAGUUAUCAAUGAUUUUGUCUAUUUGGUUUUGGGAUUGUUCACUAAUUGAAUUUCACAUUCUGGGCCAUUUUAUAUAAUAGAAAAACUACAUCUUUUUUAACAUUGCCUCGCAAGUGUUUGAUUUAAUGGCUCAUUGUUUUAUUGGAAUCUGCUAGUCAAUCUUUUGAUUUCUCUCUACUACCAAGUGUGAAGAAUCUAAUUUUUGUAUACUUUGUAAACUUCGAUUGUCUAAGAGUACUAAUCCAAUUUUUACUAAUUUAUUUAGUUAUUGUUUUUACACCAUUCUUCGGCGACAUGGAAAAUAGGGAAAAUCUAGCAUCCAACAUUUGGCUACAUAUCCACUGGACCUAACCUAACAUCGUUCAGCCAAGAGAUGACUGAAAAAUGUACUGGUUCGCAUUGAUUAUGUAUUUCAUUGUUAUGAAUGGCUUAAUAAUGUUGCAUUUUUCGGAUGUAAGAUUUUUUACUAUUUUGUAAUGGCUGGGGAUUUUUUUUUUUUUUUCAUUUUAGCUAUGAUGACAGCAUAAUGUGAGGUUUGAAUAGCCAUUUAGAUUUAGGGGAUUUGUUAUGUAAUUUUCUCGUAUGUGAAGUUUGAAUUAUCGUUAGAUAAAUUAUGUUGUUGUACAUUAUUCGAAAUUAUAAUUGAUUUGUUUGUUGCAAGGAAAGAAAUUUUGGAAUAUGUGGAUGACAUUAUACUGAUGGAGUCCGAUAAUGAGAAUGUUGUGAAAAAUACAAACAUACUGGGUGAUGAUAUGUUAGUUAGAGAUAGUGUUAUUGUGCCUGAGGUGGGUAUGAAAUUUAAGGAUGAAAAUGAAAUGUUCGAUUUUUACAAAAGAUUUGCAUACGAAAUUGGUUUUCUAGUUAGAAAAAGAAAUUCAAGAAAGGAUGAUGAUGGAGUAUUGAGAAAUAUUAUAUUUGUUUGUAGUCGUGAAGGAAAAAGAAUCAGAAAUACAACCAGUUCUUUGAAGUCACAAGCAACCAUUCAAAGUGGAUGUAAAGCCGGGAUCACUAUGGAGAAUUUGCACGAUACACCUAGACCACAAUCAUAAGACAAGCACUUCGAAGUCUAGGCUAUAUCGAUGCAACCGAAAGUUGAGUGCACAUGUGAAACGGUGACUUGAAGUAAAUGACAUGGCCGAAAUUCCAUUACACAAGAGUUUCAACUCUGCUGUUGUUGAAGUAGGUGGAUAUGAAAAUAUGACUUGCAUCGAAAAGGAUUGUUAAAACUACAUCGAAAAAGUUAGGUGUUUAAGGCUUGGAAAAGGGGACAGAGCAGCAAUACAAUCAUACUUCACUAAAAUGCAAGCACAGUGCUCGGGCUUUUACUUUAGUAUUGAUUUGGAUGAUGAGUUGCGUCUAAAGAAUGUUUUCUGGGCAGAUAAUAGGAAUAGGCAAGUGUAUAAGAAGUUUGGUGAUAUUGUCACAUUCGACAUCACAUACCUCAUUAACAAUUACAAUAUACCAUUUGCCCUUUUUGUUGGAGUGAACCAUCAUGGACAGUCGACGCUUUUUGGAUGUGGUUUGCUAUCGAAUGAGGAUACGGAGACAUUUGUGUGGUGAUUUUGAACCUGGCCAUAAUGCAUGCAUGGACAAGCUCUACAUGGGAUAAUUAUAGAUCAGGAUAGGGCUAUGCAAAAUACAAUCCAAAUCGUUUUCCCCAAUACAAAGUAUAGAUGAUGUUUGUGGCAUAUAUUGAAGAAAUUGCUUGAGAAGUUUGGAUACCAUGUGGAUAAAGGUUCAAUAUUUACAACCAUUCACAGUUUGGUUUAUAAUUGUCAUUUUGUAAAAGAAUUCGAGAAUGGCUGGAGAGUGAUGAUCGAAACGUUUAACUUGUAUGAUAAUAAGUGGUUGGCAGGUUUGUAUGAGAAUAGAGAACUUUGGGCACCUUGCUAUUUGAAAGCCACAUUUUGGGCAAGGAUGUCAACAACUCAACGCAAUGAGAGUAUGAAUGCAUUCUUUGAUGAUUAUGUACAUUCGAAGACAACUUUGAAGCAAUUUGUUGAACAAUACGAACGAGCACUGAAAAUAAGGUUGAGAAGGAGUUUCAAGCAGACUUCAAGUCGUUCUCACAAAUGGUACCAUGUGCAACGAGAUAUGAAAUGGAGAAGAAAUUCCAAGAUGUUUACACAAUUUCAAAAAAUUCAAAAAAGUUCAGGAGGAGUUCACUGGUAAGGUUUAUUGCGACCUCAUAUCUAUUUCGGAGGGAUUAUCGGGCCGAUCUACGAAAUACGAGAGGACGUAAUACAUAACGAGCGUUCUAAGAAAAAAGCCUUUUUCGUCUCAUUUCAAAAACAACAAAUGUGAAAUCACUUGCAGUUGUCAUAAUUUUGAGUUUCAGGGGAUUAUUUGCAGAUAUAUGGUCGCGGUAUUGAUUCGUAACAAUGUUAAAUCAGUAUCGGAAUGAUAUAUACUACAAAAAUGGCAACGAGAUGUCAGUAGAGCCCACACGAGGGUAGUAGUGGACUAUGAUGGUUGGAUUAGUACUCCUGGACAAUUAAAGUACGACAAAAUGUGUGAAAGGUUUGCUACAUUAGCUAACACGACUGCAGAUGAUGAAGUCAAAUCUGAUGCCAUAAUUGAUUAGAUUGACAGUCAAUGUAAACAGAUGAUGACGUUGAGGUCGAGUUGUAGUAGUAAUGUCUCCCCGCAUAUUACUCAGAUAUCAUUUGACUAUGGAACAACAGAGGAUACUGGAAAUGGUAGCAUACGAGAUCCAGAAUGCGCGAAAAGAAAAGGUGCCCCUAAGAAACUUCGAAAGAAGAGCCUACUAGAAUCGAGUUUGAACAAAGUUAAGGCAACUUCAAGUUCAACCAAAGGGAAGAAACAAAAGGUUUACACAAGUAAUAUGGGAAAUGUUGCAACCAUCUUUCAGUCUCCUCAACCAUUACAAAUACUGCUACCUUUCUCAUAUACAAAACUCCUUAUGGUUAUCAUUCAUUUAUGAUUUCAUUUCAACGAAAAUAUACGAUUUGCUUAUAAUGUUAUUUCACGCAAGGUGGCAAUCAAAAUCUUCAAUUCACACAGCACUUGCAAUCCACAUAUAUCAACCCUCCAUCGUCAACAAGUCUUACAUUCAAUAUGAAAGGUUUGGGUAGAAGACAUAUGAAUGAUGCUACUAGCAAUGACACACGACAGUUGGGAAUGCAUUUUGAUGGAGGAAGUUCAUAUGCUCACUAAUUACUAGUCCCAAGCAAGCUGGUCUUUUUGUAAAACUAGAAUAGCAUAUUCUGCAAUGCAUUUCAAUGUCAAACUGGUCUUUUUGUAAAGUUGGAAUAGCAUAUUAUUGGAAUGCCCCGGUCCUGUUCAAAACCAUUGGUUUUGGAGCUAAUGCUUCCUUAUUUUCUUGAAGGUGGACUACAAAUGUUAUUUUUUUCCAGGUAUUGUACUUAAUUUAUUUAUCUAUUUCAGCUUUUAUUUACUUUAAUUAAUCAUUGUUUGCACGAUGCAGCUUAUUAGUACAGUUUGCAUUGGAAUUAAAUUUGGUCUAAAUGGAAAUCCUACUAAAUUGCAUAAUUGGUAUGCAACGUUGGUGGUUGUAGCUAUUUGCGUUUAUGUAGCUGGAUUUGCUUGGUCUUGGGGGCCUCUUAGUUGGUUGGUACCAACUGAAAUUUUGCCUUUUGAAGUCCGAUCGACUGGACAGAGCAUCAAUGUUUAAGUUAAUAUAGUCAAUGUUUUCUACAUACAAUAGAUUGUUUUAUGUUGAUCAUCUGUUAAUUUCAACAUUUUUAGAUGGGAAGCCUUAAUAGUCAAGCCCAUCACGAGAAAUUGUGCUUUAUUUUGUGUUUUAGUAAGUAAGUAGGUUCCAAGAUAUGAAGCAUUUACUUAU
This is a long non-coding RNA of Olea europaea var. sylvestris, 4085 nucleotides long. RefSeq lists it as uncharacterized. Lineage: Eukaryota; Viridiplantae; Streptophyta; Magnoliopsida; Lamiales; Oleaceae. The record is from RefSeq and is a predicted model, not a curated record. The transcript has 4 exons.